RNAcentral lists this small nucleolar RNA (147 nucleotides) under Saimiri boliviensis boliviensis (Bolivian squirrel monkey). RNAcentral's name for it is "Small nucleolar RNA SNORA12 (ENSSBOG00000009086.1)". It matches the Rfam family "Small nucleolar RNA SNORA12". From Rfam's summary of the family: U108 belongs to the H/ACA family of snoRNAs. The sequence is predicted to guide the pseudouridylation of the U372 residue in the 28S rRNA subunit. The record is from Rfam by way of RNAcentral. Lineage: Eukaryota; Metazoa; Chordata; Mammalia; Primates; Cebidae.
AGUUGUGGUGGUUUUCCUUUUGGCACAUUUGUUAAGUUUUCAAAUGGGCCUAACUCUGCCACAUAUAUUAUAUUGGAGAUGGAAAAGGCUUGUGGCAGAGAUAUCUCUCUUAAGCCUUUCCUGUAUCACAGAAUGGCUCCCACAUGU